CUUCUCGCGGGUUCAACGCAUCCAUCUCUCUUCGACGGCUCUGCUCCCGUUCGGACUCGUCCGGUGCGUGGUAGUGGAGUUGCAGAGAGUGGUGUGAAGGCCCGCGGCAGACCGCACUUCUCCCUUAGUAGGACGUCGUGACCCGCCCGGCCAUGGUCUUACGGUUGUGGGGAGGAGCCUGUCCUUCGACGUGCUUGCACGUAUUUGGGCAGACCCCUGCGCCCCGGCCAUGGUUUCACAACUGGACGGUAUCAAGUGACGGUGUUCAGCCACUCUUCGGCGGAGGAAACUCCUGCCAGUGAGCGCGAUUUGACUCAUGACAAGGUGCGGAGAUGUUUCAGUCAAGGCGGGCUUCCGUCCGUCUGGCUGCUCUCUGCCCUGUUGGUUGUGGGACCUCUCGUUUGGCCUAUUUAGCACCCGUCUACGGCGAACCAGUUUUGGGUUCUUGUCCGACCCGUCUUGAAACACGGACCAAGGAGUUCAGCGUGUACGCGAGUCAUUGGGUGAUCAAACCUAAAGGCGUAAUGAAAGUGAAGGAAACUUCUUGUCUCUGAGGGAGGAUGAGCAGGUUACUCGCAAGAGGCCUCUCCGCACUCCCGGGGCGUCUCUUUCUCAUUGCGAGUGGAGGCGCACCCAGAGCGUACACGCUGAUACCCGAAAGAUGGUGAACUAUGCCUGGCCAGGACGAAGCCAGGGGAAACCCUGGUGGAGGUCCGCAGC
Molecule: ribosomal RNA, 720 nt
Filed under: Ausejanus albisignatus
Lineage: Eukaryota; Metazoa; Arthropoda; Insecta; Hemiptera; Miridae
Description: partial large subunit ribosomal RNA
Rfam family: Eukaryotic large subunit ribosomal RNA
Source: RNAcentral